Molecule: ribosomal RNA, 422 nt
Filed under: uncultured bacterium
Lineage: Bacteria
Description: bacterial SSU rRNA
Rfam family: Bacterial small subunit ribosomal RNA
Source: RNAcentral
ACGGGUGAGUAAUGCAUGGGGAUCUGCCCAGUAGCGGGGGACAACCCGGAGAAAUCCGGGCUAAUACCGCAUACGCCCUACGGGGGAAAGCGGGGGACCGAAAGGCCUCGCACUAUUGGAGGAACCCAUGUCCGAUUAGCUAGUUGGUGAGGUAACGGCUCACCAAGGCGACGAUCGGUAGCUGGUCUGAGAGGACGAUCAGCCACACCGGAACUGAGACACGGUCCGGACUCCUACGGGAGGCAGCAGUGGGGAAUAUUGGACAAUGGGGGAAACCCUGAUCCAGCAAUGCCGCGUGGGUGAAGAAGGCCUGCGGGUUGUAAAGCCCUUUCGGUGAAGACAAAACGCGCCACAUUAACACCGUGGUGUUUUGAUUUAACUCACUAAAGAAGCACCGGCUAACUCUGUGCCAGCAGCCGCGG